AGACCACUGUGUUCUUGACUCCAAUAAAGCUGUAGAAUCAUCAAGGAUGAUCAAUGGAAACAGGAUGCACCUGAGCUCAAUUUUGAGUCUCAUUGCAAAGGGUCUGGAUACUUAUGAAAAUAAGUUAACGCUCUGUCUCUGGUUCCUGUCCCACAUCUCACCACCCAACUACCUUGCUCUGGAUUUUACUCACCACCACUACCUUGGAUUCCCCUCAGGACCUGUUUACCCUGUUCUACUUAGCUAACUCUGACCUCAGUCUCCACAUCUGGUUUUUCUGCAACUCAUCCGAGCUUCCCCGGAUGUGCACUCCAUAUCGCCCUGUGUAACAAUAAAUAUUUUGGUUCACUC
This 351-nucleotide long non-coding RNA is filed under the name Salmo salar (Atlantic salmon). Its description in RNAcentral is "lncRNA (ENSSSAG00000111642.1, ENSSSAG00020079999.1, ENSSSAG00075065723.1)". The record is from RNAcentral. Lineage: Eukaryota; Metazoa; Chordata; Actinopteri; Salmoniformes; Salmonidae.